GACGAACGCUGGCGGCGUGCUUAACACAUGCAAGUCGAACGGAAAGGCCCUGCUUUUGUGGGGUGCUCGAGUGGCGAACGGGUGAGUAACACGUGAGUAACCUGCCCUUGACUUUGGGAUAACGUCAGGAAACUGGGGCUAAUACCGGAUAGGAGCUCCUGCUGCAUGGUGGGGGUUGGAAAGUUUCGGCGGUUGGGGAUGGACUCGCGGCUUAUCAGCUUGUUGGUGGGGGAGUGGCUUACCAAGGCUUUGACGGGUAGCCGGCCUGAGAGGGUGACCGGCCACAUUGGGACUGAGAUACGGCCCAGACUCCUACGGGAGGCAGCAGUGGGGAAUAUUGCACAAUGGGCGGAAGCCUGAUGCAGCAACGCCGCGUGCGGGAUGACGGCCUUCGGGUUGUAAACCGCUUUCGCCUGUGACGAAGCGUGAGUGACGGUAAUGGGUAAAGAAGCACCGGCUAACUACGU
Molecule: ribosomal RNA, 467 nt
Filed under: uncultured bacterium
Lineage: Bacteria
Description: partial 16S ribosomal RNA
Rfam family: Bacterial small subunit ribosomal RNA
Source: RNAcentral